GAUGAACGCUGGCGGCGUGCCUAAUACAUGCAAGUCGAGCGAACAGACGAGGAGCUUGCUCCUCUGACGUUAGCGGCGGACGGGUGAGUAACACGUGGAUAACCUACCUAUAAGACUGGGAUAACUUCGGGAAACCGGAGCUAAUACCGGAUAAUAUAUUGAACCGCAUGGUUCAAUAGUGAAAGACGGUUUUGCUGUCACUUAUAGAUGGAUCCGCGCCGCAUUAGCUAGUUGGUAAGGUAACGGCUUACCAAGGCAACGAUGCGUAGCCGACCUGAGAGGGUGAUCGGCCACACUGGAACUGAGACACGGUCCAGACUCCUACGGGAGGCAGCAGUAGGGAAUCUUCCGCAAUGGGCGAAAGCUUGACGGAGCAACGCCGCGUGAGUGAUGAAGGUCUUCAGAUCGUAAAACUCUGUUAUUAGGGAAGAACAAAUGUGUAAGUAACUAUGCACGUCUUGACGGUACCUAAUCAGAAAGCCACGGCUAACUACGU
This 496-nucleotide ribosomal RNA is filed under the name uncultured bacterium. Its description in RNAcentral is "partial 16S ribosomal RNA". It matches the Rfam family "Bacterial small subunit ribosomal RNA", at positions 28 to 506 of the family's 1533-position model. The record is from RNAcentral.